This 750-nucleotide ribosomal RNA is filed under the name Ochthebius serratus. Its description in RNAcentral is "partial large subunit ribosomal RNA". The stretch from base 1 to 573 matches the Rfam family "Bacterial large subunit ribosomal RNA", at positions 1819 to 2925 of the family's 2925-position model. The record is from RNAcentral. Lineage: Eukaryota; Metazoa; Arthropoda; Insecta; Coleoptera; Hydraenidae.
GUCUUUUUGAUAAUAAUUUAAAGUCUGGCCUGCCCAAUGAUAAUUUAAAUGGCCGCGGUAUUUUGACCGUGCAAAGGUAGCAUAAUCAUUAGUUUUUUAAUUGAAAGCUUGUAUGAAAGGUUGAACGAGAAAAUUACUGUCUCAAUUUUAUUUGAUAAGAAUUUUAUAUUUAAGUUAAAAAGCUUAAAUAAUUUUAAAAGACGAGAAGACCCUAUAGAGUUUUAUAUUAUUAAUUUUUUUUUAUAAAUAAUUUAUUUAAUUUUUAAUAGUAUUUUAUUGGGGUGAUAAAUAAAUUUAAUAAACUUUAUUUUUAUUUAAACAUUAAUAUAUGAAUAUUUUGAUCCAAUUAUUUUGAUUAUAAGAUUAAAUUACCUUAGGGAUAACAGCGUAAUUUUUUUUGAGAGUUCAUAUCGAAAGAAAAGAUUGCGACCUCGAUGUUGGAUUAAAGUUUAUUUUUGGUGUAGAAGCUAAACGAUUAAGUCUGUUCGACUUUUAAAACUUUACAUGAUCUGAGUUUAAACCGGUGUGAGCCAGGUUGGUUUCUAUCUUUAAAAAUAUAAAAUAUUUUAGUACGAAAGGACCAAAUAUUUAUAAAAUUUAUUUUUAAAUUGAAUAUUAUUGUUAUUUUGGCAGAUUAGUGCAUUAAAUUUAGAAUUUAAUUAUGUAAUUUAUUACAAAUAAUACUUGUUUUAUAAAGAUUUAAUUUUAAUAUUAAUUAGAAGGUUAUUAUUAGUAAUUUGUGUAUUAAUU